UCGUGCCUACGGGGCGCAGCAGUGAGGAAUAUUGGUCAAUGGUCGGGAGACUGAACCAGCCAAGCCGCGUGAGGGAGGAAGGUACAGAGUAUCGUAAACCUCUUUUGUCAGGGAACAAAGACUGGGACGCGUCCCCGGAUGAGUGUACCUGAAGAAAAAGCAUCGGCUAACUCCGUGCCAGCAGCCGCGGUAAUACGGAGGAUGCGAGCGUUAUCCGGAUUUAUUGGGUUUAAAGGGUGCGUAGGCGGGCUUUUAAGUCAGCGGUAAAAAUUCGGGGCUCAACCCCGUCCGGCCGUUGAAACUGG
RNAcentral lists this ribosomal RNA (305 nucleotides) under uncultured bacterium. RNAcentral describes it as "bacterial SSU rRNA". It matches the Rfam family "Bacterial small subunit ribosomal RNA", at positions 332 to 636 of the family's 1533-position model. The record is from RNAcentral.